GUCGGGAGUUAGGAAAUGCAAGGAUGUUAAUAGCAUCUUUGCUUGACUAAGGCUCCGGAGGAAGCCACGGCUAACUCUGUGCCAGCAGCCGCGGUAAUACAGAGGCGGCAAGCGUUGUUCGGAAUUAUUGGGCGUAAAGAGCACGUAGGUGGCCGUGUAAGUCGGUUGUGAAAGCCUUCCGCUCAACGGGAGAACGGCAUCCGAUACUGCAUGGCUCGAGUGCGGGAGGGGAGAGUGGAACUUCUGG
RNAcentral lists this ribosomal RNA (247 nucleotides) under uncultured bacterium. Its description in RNAcentral is "partial 16S ribosomal RNA". It matches the Rfam family "Bacterial small subunit ribosomal RNA", at positions 434 to 673 of the family's 1533-position model. The record is from RNAcentral.